This 302-nucleotide long non-coding RNA is filed under the name Salvia miltiorrhiza (redroot sage). RNAcentral's name for it is "long non-coding RNA (SMIL_LNC001704)". The record is from RNAcentral. Lineage: Eukaryota; Viridiplantae; Streptophyta; Magnoliopsida; Lamiales; Lamiaceae.
AAAAAAAUAAAAUAUGCAUGCUUCAUGAUAAUUUGACCUAGUGAAUAAAAUGAUAGACGUGGACUGUUUCGGUAAAUAAAAAAAAGGAAAAAAAAGAAGAAGAAAAAGGUGAUUAUAUUCAUAGCCCCUAUUUUACUCUUUAUAGCCACUAUCUAAAAUAAUAAUUAAAAUUUUACCUUAUAUUUUAUCUUACAUUUAAGUAUGGGGCUAUGAACAGAACUAAAAAAAAAAAAAGCACAACCCAAUUUUGGCUUAUUGCUGCCACCUAAACACUACGGGCCAUAUUGCUUUUGUCAAUAACG